This is a non-coding RNA of Callithrix jacchus (white-tufted-ear marmoset), 1543 nucleotides long. The record is from RefSeq and is a predicted model, not a curated record. Lineage: Eukaryota; Metazoa; Chordata; Mammalia; Primates; Cebidae.
UAUUUUAAACGCUCAACUUCACUAAAUGAGGUAGUGCAAAUGAAAAUAAUGAGGUAUGUUUUCAAUGAGACAGUUCUCCUUCUAUCAGACUGGCACAAAGCUGUUCUGUGAUGUCACCCCCUGCUGGUGAGUGCAGUACACGGGCACUCCUUUCCAUGCUGAGGGAAGGGGACCAAGUCAUCUUCUAGCAUGAGGUCUGGCAACAGGUACCAAGAGCCUUACAAAGCUCCCUUUGCCAGAGUCUACCCCGAGACUGUGGACUAAGAUUUUUAGAUUUAUCACAACAAUAUUUAUAACAGGGGAAAGCUGGAAACCACCUAAGUGUCCAGCAGCCAACUUACUAACUCACAUGACAAACCAGCAUUCGCCACAAACUUACUAACAAUUCCUAUGACAAACCAGCGUUUACCAUGAGAAGAAUGUUCACCUAAUCGUAUGGGAAAGUGCCCAGCAUCAGCAGAGGAAGCUGGACAUGAAAUACACGUACACACAGGAUCCUCAUCUGCUGCUUAAAGCUCUGCCUCUCCAUACUCUGUCCACAGGAGGCAGGCAGGGAAUCCUCACGAUGGCGUCAGUGGUUUUCCCUCAAUGAAAGGGCUCGGCCUGAGCUCAAGACUUCCCUCCGUGCUGCCCUUCACUGGCUCUGAGAAUGCUUCUCCCAGAUGCUCCAGCCUGAUGUCAGUGUGAGCAGGUGUGAGCAGGGGUGAGAAGGAAACAUCAGAUGAAGGGAGACUUGCAGCAGAAUCACAGCCUGGAGAGGGGGGAGGCAGCCCUGCGGACACAGCACUUUCGGGACUGGAUUGACUGCUGGCAGUUCGUGGGACAGAUAGAAAGGUGGCAGCCCUAGGUUGCCUCCACAAACCCUCACCAGAAAGCAAGUGUCCACAGCACCAGAGGAGGACAUAGACUGGAGUUCACUUCUGCUGCCUCACAGCUCUGGGUCCCCUCUUCUGCAGUCACACUGCCCCGAGAAAGGCUGAUCCAGGCCUCAGCACUCCUGGCGUCCACAGCAGCGCUCCCCCAGGACUCACAAUGAUGGCUUCAGACCCCUUCCAACAGGUCCUGCCCACCCUUCAAUCUCAUUCCCCACCACUCCCAGCACCCCUGCAAUUCUGCAAGCCUCGUGUAGUCCAAGGGGCUUCACAUUUCUGUCCCCUCUGCCAGGAUACUCCGGCCCCAGACAGUGGCACAGGCACUCCCUCUUCACUCAGACCUACUGCUUGACCAUCUCCUUCUCAGAGAGGCUUCCCUGAGCCCCCAUAACAGACCCACAGCAGCCUAGAGCCUUCUCCUGCUCUGGUCUUCAUAACUCAUUCCCUGACAGAUAUUUGUAGAGAUACAUCUGCUUAUUAGCUGUUUUCCAUCAAGCUAUAAGCCUCAGGAGGGAGGGAGUUAGUCUAUCUGGCACCCAGUGACCCAUUCUCCAUGUCCUGAAUGAUGCCUGGGACACAGUCGGUGCUUAUUAAGUAUCUGUUUGAAAAAAACAAACAAAAUGAGACCAAUAAUGGCUCUCCCAAAAAAAGAAGGUUCAAUUACGUGUAAA